GACGCAAUGAAUUUGAUGCACCGGAGUUUACGGCGUAUGUCGAUGAUCAGCUAUUAAAACAUUUCGGACGAUUUCUGCUAUUAUGUACAAGAAGAAGCAUGUCAAACACUUAAAUAAAACAGGGAUGUCCUGAUGCCAUCUGUCAGGCUCAACUGCAGGAUGUUGCAGGGCACUCUCUGACCCAGCUACAGCUCACAAAUAGUAUAAGCACACAAACCAUGGAGGAGGAAGAUAGCAAGAGCCAGAAAAAGCUGGAAUUCACUGGUGAAACUUCUGUCACAACCUGGAAGUCACUGGUGAAUGCUUUGUUGUCACCUGCCCACAUCUCUGCUCUUUGUCGCAACCCCAUUUAUAAUUUAGCUCCCGAGUUUGUGUAUCAUUCACCUGGCUGUGCAGCAUUUGUUAACUCUGGAGAUAACUGAGGUGUGUUCUGCAUGCAGAUAUAAGUGUUACUGAGGUGAAUUUAUAAUUCAUUUAAUUUUUCUUAUGAAAGGUAGUUGAAACAUUUUGGAUGGAAAUAAAAUAAACAACAGACAAACUAACAAAAAGUAUUGGUGAUUAGACAGAUGAUUAUCUUUUUUUGCCUUGGGAGAUAAGUUAAUUUUGUUAUUUUUGAAGAAAGGUCUUUUAAUUCGAUUCAACCAAAGCUUACACUGUUAUUUGAAUCUCAGAAACUACAUUUUCAUUGUGAGAGAGUAAGCACAUUUCAAUGUCCACUGUGAGGUUUGUUUUUAUGGUCCUUGUUCUGCUGUUGUCAUAAUGUUUGCCUCAAUGUUCAGGUGAAUAAAU
Molecule: long non-coding RNA, 789 nt
Organism: Electrophorus electricus (electric eel)
Lineage: Eukaryota; Metazoa; Chordata; Actinopteri; Gymnotiformes; Gymnotidae
Source: RefSeq, a predicted model, not a curated record